UUGAAGCUGGAAGGGAAGAAGGAGAUGGGACAUCGACAGGUGUUGAAUCGAUUGUUGGGUAAUGAAUAGGACCUUCCUCUACGGUUUCCAUAUCCUCAUCUGCCAAUGGAGGAGCUGAUGGUGAAGGUUCAUGGACAGUGACGCUUUCAUGGCUAUUGAAACCAGAUGUGCUUGCUUUUCCUGAGGGAGUAGGAGUAGGAGGAAGAGGUGCAGAUGAUGAGGAAUCGAUUGUUGGGUAAUGAAUAGGACCUUCCUCUACAGUUUCCAUAUCCUCAUCUGCCAAUGGAGGAGCUGAUGGUGAAGGUUCAUGGACAGUAACGCUUCCAUGGCUAUUGAAACCAGAUGUGCUUGCUUUUCCUGAGGGAGGAGGAGUAGGAGGAAGAGGUGCAGAUGAUGAACUUGCUUCACCUAUGGAAUGGUGAUUGAUAUCUGGUGUGUCACUCAUAGCAGGAUGAAGUGGUGGCGCAGAAGGUGCAGUUUGGAGAAAGACUGGGGGAUGCGCUGGCUGUAUAAACCAAAUGAUGAGUA
Molecule: long non-coding RNA, 528 nt
Filed under: Brassica napus (rape)
Lineage: Eukaryota; Viridiplantae; Streptophyta; Magnoliopsida; Brassicales; Brassicaceae
Description: long non-coding RNA (BNAP_LNC019792)
Source: RNAcentral